Molecule: ribosomal RNA, 746 nt
Filed under: uncultured Glomerales
Lineage: Eukaryota; Fungi; Glomeromycota; Glomeromycetes; Glomerales; Glomeraceae
Description: LSU rRNA
Rfam family: Eukaryotic large subunit ribosomal RNA
Source: RNAcentral
GCAUAUCAAUAAGCGGAGGAAAAGAAAAUAACAAUGAUUCCCUUAGUAACGGCGAGUGAAGGGGGAUAAGCUCAAAUUUUAAAUCUACCAGGUUAACCUGGUCGAGUUGUAAUUUGAAGAAGCGUUUUCCGCGUUCGGGUCGGCCCAAAUCCUUUGGGAUAAGGUAUCAUGGAGGGUGAGAAUCCCGUUCGGCUGACCUUAGGAUGCUUUACGAUACGCUCUCAAAGAGUCGAGUUGUUUGGGAUUGCAGCUCAAAAUGGGAGGUAAAUUUCUCCUAAGGCUAAAUACCGGCGAGAGACCGAUAGCGAACAAGUACCGUGAGGGAAAGAUGAAAAGAACUUUGAAAAGAGAGUUAAAUAGUACGUGAAAUUGUUGAAAGGGAAACGAUUGAAGUCAGUCGUACCGGCGGGAAAUCAGCUUCUCGAGUGGGGGUUCGCGGGUGCGUGGAGCUUCGGCCUUCGUCGCUUGUGACACCUUUUGCUUCUGGAGCGUACUUUUCCGUGUGGUAGGUCAACAUCGGUUUCGAUUGCCAUAAAAUGACCGGAGGAAUGUGGCUUCGAUCUUGUAUUGGAGUGUUAUAGCCUCUGGUAGAUGUGGUGGUUGGGAUCGAGGAUUGCAACGAAUACCCUUUGGGCUAUCCGCCUGACCUCUGAAAGUCGCUUGGGUACCGAAAGCUUGCUUACGGUCAUUUAAGUUGGCGGUCAAAAGGUUAGAACGUGAUUAAAUUCGUUAAGGAUGUUGACGUA